CGCGAUUUUCUUCCUCUCCUCGGCUCUCUCUGCAACUCCGGCCAUCUCCCUCUUCCGGCCACCUCGGAGCGAACAAGCAGCACCGGUCGACUCCUCUACCCCUACCCAACCUCCCCACGGCGGUAACUCACGGCGACUUGGCCGGAAAAUGACGCAUCGGGUCCUUGAAGUUUCACUGUAGCAGAGUGGUCAACACCGAUAUCUUCCUUUUCCGGCCGUCUCCGGCCACCAAACCAGCGUCGAAGGAGCGGUUUUUCCCAAGGAUCAUGUUGCCCCUAGCCUUGAGCCACGAUUUGCAGUGUAGAGGAAGAAUCGACGAUUGGAAGAUUACGGUCACUAUUCACAGUUUGAGUUCAAGCUUCUCCUUAAU
Molecule: long non-coding RNA, 370 nt
Filed under: Rosa chinensis
Lineage: Eukaryota; Viridiplantae; Streptophyta; Magnoliopsida; Rosales; Rosaceae
Description: sRNA RchiOBHm_Chr2g0127421
Source: RNAcentral